UGGGGAAUAUUGGACAAUGGGCGAAAGCCUGAUCCAGCCAUGCCGCGUGUGUGAAGAAGGUCUUCGGAUUGUAAAGCACUUUAAGUUGGGAGGAAGGGCAGUAAGCGAAUACCUUGCUGUUUUGACGUUACCGACAGAAUAAGCACCGGCUAACUCUGUGCCAGCAGCCGCGGUAAUACAGAGGGUGCAAGCGUUAAUCGGAAUUACUGGGCGUAAAGCGCGCGUAGGUGGUUCGUUAAGUUGAAUGUGAAAGCCCCGGGCUCAACCUGGGAACUGCAUCCAAAACAGGCGAGCUAGAGUAGGGCAGAGGGUGGGGGAAUUUCCUGUGUAGCGGUGAAAUGCGUAGAUAUAGGAAGGAACACCAGUGGCGAAGGCGACCACCUGGGCUCAUACUGACACUGAGGUGCGAAAGCGUGGGGAGCAAACAGG
This 429-nucleotide ribosomal RNA is filed under the name Pseudomonadota bacterium. RNAcentral's name for it is "Proteobacteria bacterium partial 16S ribosomal RNA". It matches the Rfam family "Bacterial small subunit ribosomal RNA", at positions 355 to 776 of the family's 1533-position model. Lineage: Bacteria; Pseudomonadati; Pseudomonadota. The record is from RNAcentral.